Long non-coding RNA from Scomber japonicus (chub mackerel), 299 nucleotides. RefSeq lists it as uncharacterized. The record is from RefSeq and is a predicted model, not a curated record. NCBI's taxonomy places the organism in Eukaryota, Metazoa, Chordata, Actinopteri, Scombriformes, Scombridae. The transcript has 3 exons.
GAAGGAAAGUGCCCCAGAGCAUAACGUGAUCAGAGUAACCUGUCCUCCUGUGAAAAAUUUCUUUGGGCCUGAGAGGUCAUACAUUGCAAAACUUACUCAUGGUGGGGUCAUUAAGAGAUCACAAAAUAAUGACAAAAAAUGUGAAUUUGAAUUCAAAGAUCUAAGCUACUCAACGGAGUAUAAAGUGGAGGUGGUCGCUUUCAACGGACGCCUUAUCAGCAAAACCAUCAGGAAGCAAACAGUCAGCACUCUCUACAAUGACAAAGCUGUUAUUGGUGUUCUGGUAUUCAUCAUCAUAU